UCACCUCAAGAGGCCAAGGAAUUCGAGGACAAGUCUGCAAUUUCCUAGUCCAUAAUAAAAGUAUUAUCCAUCCAACGACCAUAGCUUCAUGUCACUCUCAGUCCGCGAAUUGGGAUCCAAACCUCAUGAGACAUUUCACCUUUUCUCAUUUUAUAGCUUAUUUGCAUAUUUAACUACGAUGAGGGUCGAAGGAAUUGAUUUUCCCAAUCGGGGAGCAACGACGAUUCGAAUCGCUUAGCAAUCCAGCUGGAGUUCCUAACCACCCGACAUAUGUAGAACCAAAUCUUGCAUAUGUCAACACAAAUCUAGCUC
RNAcentral lists this long non-coding RNA (312 nucleotides) under Sorghum bicolor (sorghum). RNAcentral's name for it is "long non-coding RNA (SBIC_LNC016150)". The record is from RNAcentral. Lineage: Eukaryota; Viridiplantae; Streptophyta; Magnoliopsida; Poales; Poaceae.